Long non-coding RNA from Ictalurus punctatus (channel catfish), 3098 nucleotides. RefSeq lists it as uncharacterized. The transcript is spliced from 2 exons. NCBI's taxonomy places the organism in Eukaryota, Metazoa, Chordata, Actinopteri, Siluriformes, Ictaluridae. The record is from RefSeq and is a predicted model, not a curated record.
UAUCAUAAAAUGAAAGAACAUUAAACUUAAAAAAAUACAAACUGUUUAGAGAACAUACAUGAAACAAGUUAGUUCCUAUUUUCACUUACAUCAUGGGAGCUAUAAAUAACCUGUUUUUCUUCUUUUUUUUUUAAAGUCUUUUUCAAUUAACUCGAGAGGAAAAAUGAAAGGUUUUUCAUGCUACCAAAAAAUCUUAAAUGUCAAAUUUCUACCUACAACUUUAUCUCCUGCUGUUGCAAAGUACUGAAACUGGACACUCCUUCCAUAAACGUUGACUAAACAUCUGUAAUGUUGCCACUCUAAGGAGCGAAGUUUGGUAGCAACAUUCUCAACAAGGGGAGCGACUUCCAUCACAAGGCCAGAGGGGGGAGCGACAUUCUCCACAAAGCAAGAGAGGGUUGAGGCAUCCUCUGAAUAGCAAGAGAUAAUAGUAGUAAUACAUUUUAAAUGAAUAAAUAAUUAAUCAUGAUAAUUUAAUAAGUAAUAAUAAUAAUUGCUUACAUUUAUAUAGCACUUUUCUAGGCACUGCAAGUUCUUUACAUAGUAUGCAGGAAUCUUCUCAGUAAUCACCAGUGUGUAGCAUCCACCUGGAUGAUGCAACGGCAGGCAUAGUGUGCCAGAACGCCCACCACACACCAGCUAUUAGUGGAGAGGAGAGUGAUGUAGCCAAUUCAGGGAUGGAGAUUAGUAGGGGGCCAUGAUAGAUAAGGGCCAGUGGGGGAAUGUGGGAUUUUUAAUGACCACAGAGAAUCAGGACCUCGGUUUAACGUCUCAUCCAUCACUAUACUGGUGCUUAUAAAGUACACUGCUAAGCAGAGAGGAGGAGCGAUGUCCGCAGUGAGCAGGGAAGCAGAGAGAUGUCCUCAGUGGAGUAGGAAGGAGGAAUGACAUCCGAAGUGGAGUAAGGCAUAGUGACGUCCGAGGCGGUGCAGGGAGAUGGAGUGACAUCCAUAGCAAGACUGUGUUCUGUAGUGGUGUUUACUGCGGGACAGGGAGGCAGAGCGACGUCCUCAGCGGAGCAAUGUCCUGUAACAGCCCUUAAAUAAGGUGGAGGCAGUUGUCAGUAAAUACAGAGAAGCAGCUCUCUGUCCCGCUCCGGUGGAGGGCCAGGGCUGGUGUGGCCUGACCCUUACAUUCUCCUUACAGGAAACUUCACCAUAUCAACAAUUCCACAAAUGUAUCAAUCCAUUUAUAAGUGGCUGUGAAUUAGCACUUAUUAUUGAGACAAUAACAUUUUACAGUAACAAUAUGCCACUGUCUUUACCUAUUUAUAGUUACGUUUAAUACUGUGGACCCUCUACAAAUGAAGUUAGGUUAUAGAAAAAAAAAACACUUGUUUCCUCGCCAGAGUCUGUUUUCCCAACUACAAUUAUCUUGGUAAGUGUUCAGGGUUUAGCUAGAGCAGAAAAUAAAGGAAACCAAGCAUGAACAUUGUUUGAGUAUUCAAGAAUUUAAUUUAGAUUUUGUAGGAAUCCCUCAAGUCAUCGUCAUGACCAAGGUGGAUAAAGCCUGUGAGACGGUUAGCCAGGAUUUAAAUAAAAUAUACUACAGCAAGAAGAUCAAAGAGAAGGUGGAUAAAUGCAAUGAUAACAUGGGCAUCCCAUUAAACGCCAUCUACCCUGUGAAGAAUUACUCUGAAUCCAUCAUCCAAGAUCUAGCAAUCGACAUGCUCCUCCUCACGGCAUUGAGAGAUAUUCUAAAUUUUGCCAAUGACUAUGUGGAACGUGAGUUGGAAAAAGAUGAGUAAUGAGAGAUAUAAAAAUAUACAUUGAAAUGUGGAUUGAGGUCAACCUUAGUUUAGGUGUGUGCUGUACUUUAUUCUUUAACUUCUCCCUUCUUCAUACUCAUCUCGUUUGCAUCAUUCAAGUUGAUCAAGUUGUACAAGUUGAUCUUCAUCUGAUCUGUUCGUAGUAUGUUGUUCUAGAUGUGUUUUUAAAAAGGUUUUUGGCAAACCAGUGCUCAACAUCUUGUGGUAAAACCUCUGUAUUUAGUCUGGUGAAGUCUUCUCUUGAUUGUUGACUUUGACACAGAUAUGCCUACAUCCUUGAGGAUAUUCUUGAUCUGGCCAACUGUUGUGAAGGAGUUUGUCUCCUUCACAAGGAGGGAAACUCCUUCUUUUAGCAGGGGAAGAAUUCUUCUGUUAUCCACCACAGUUGUUUUCCAUGGUCUUUUGUGUUCCUGAGCUCACCAGUGCAUUCUUUAUUUUUAAGAAACUACCAAGUAAUUGAUUUGGCCACACCUACUGUUUCUGCUAUCUCUCUGUUGGGUUUGUUUUCAUUGUUUGUUUCAGCCUAAUGAUGUUAUAUUUCACUGCCAGUGACAACAUUUUGGACUUCCCAUUGAGAGCUAACAGCAACAGAUUCCAAAUGCGAAUGCCACACUUGAAAGCAACAGUGUACUGUAUUUAACAGCAAUUUGCAGUUAUUACAAUUUCUUAUGAAUAAAAACCCAACAUCAUAAUUUAUCCAUUUGUAGUUAUGUUGAAUUGUUUAAUCGUGAGAUGUCCACAAAACAAGUUAUCAUUCACAUUAUAGCAGUUGUAAACACUUGUUCCCAUAUUGGCCUCUCUUUUAAUCUAAAUAAAUAACACAUUUAAAAUGGGUUUGUUGUAUAAAUAUGUAACUACCAGUGAUACUGUAUCUUGAUAAUUUAAUAUAUGUAAACCUUUUUUCAGAAUCACGAACACGCAGAUAUGUGGAAAUGCUGACAAGAUCAAGCACAAUAAAGUUGAAAUAUACAGCACAUAUAGUCGAGGUACACGGAACAUAUAUAGAUAGGAUAUAUAGAUAGUAUAUAUAGAUAUAUAGAUAAGAUGAUAGGAUACUGAAUACUGGUCAUAAUAAGGUAUUUGGACACUUAAGAUUAACCUGGUUGACACAGUUAAUCCAUAGUUAAUUUAAUGAACUAUUGCACACAUUGUGGUUACCCUGCCAGGGGACCUGAAUGAAAUUGAAGGUAACUGACUACAUAUAGCCACUAUAAAUAACAUUGGGACCAGCAGGUUAAAAGGAAUUGCAAAAAUGACUAAGAAGAAGAAAGUAAGUUUUGCGAAAGUUUCUAGCAUCAUUUGUGUGCACAAAGAAAGCCUCUCUAUUUGG